UACGUAGGGUGCAAGCGUUGUCCGGAAUUAUUGGGCGUAAAGAGCUCGUAGGCGGUUUGUCGCGUCUGCUGUGAAAACCCGAGGCUCAACCUCGGGCCUGCAGUGGGUACGGGCAAACUAGAGUGCGGUAGGGGAGAUUGGAAUUCCUGGUGUAGCGGUGGAAUGCGCAGAUAUCAGGAGGAACACCGAUGGCGAAGGCAGAAUCUCUGGGCCGUAACUGACGCUGAGGAGCGAAAGCAUGGGGAGCGAACAGG
RNAcentral lists this ribosomal RNA (254 nucleotides) under uncultured bacterium. RNAcentral's name for it is "partial 16S ribosomal RNA". It matches the Rfam family "Bacterial small subunit ribosomal RNA", at positions 524 to 776 of the family's 1533-position model. The record is from RNAcentral.